This 497-nucleotide ribosomal RNA is filed under the name uncultured bacterium. RNAcentral's name for it is "partial 16S ribosomal RNA". It matches the Rfam family "Bacterial small subunit ribosomal RNA", at positions 28 to 507 of the family's 1533-position model. The record is from RNAcentral.
GACGAACGCUGGCGGCGUGCCUAAUACAUGCAAGUUGAGCGCUGAAGGUUGGUACUUGUACCAACUGGAUGAGCAGCGAACGGGUGAGUAACGCGUGGGGAAUCUGCCUUUGAGCGGGGGACAACAUUUGGAAACGAAUGCCAAUACCGCAUAAAAACUUUAAACACAAGUUUUAAGUUUGAAAGAUGCAAUUGCAUCACUCAAAGAUGAUCCCGCGUUGUAUUAGCUAGUUGGUGAGGUAAAGGCUCACCAAGGCGAUGAUACAUAGCCGACCUGAGAGGGUGAUCGGCCACAUUGGGACUGAGACACGGCCCAAACUCCUACGGGAGGCAGCAGUAGGGAAUCUUCGGCAAUGGACGAAAGUCUGACCGAGCAACGCCGCGUGAGUGAAGAAGGUUUUCGGAUCGUAAAACUCUGUUGGUAGAGAAGAACGUUGGUGAGAGUGGAAAGCUCAUCAAGUGACGGUAACUACCCGGAAAGGGACGGCUAACUACGUG